RNAcentral lists this ribosomal RNA (484 nucleotides) under uncultured bacterium. RNAcentral's name for it is "partial 16S ribosomal RNA". It matches the Rfam family "Bacterial small subunit ribosomal RNA", at positions 30 to 507 of the family's 1533-position model. The record is from RNAcentral.
AUUGAACGCUGGCGGCAGGCCUAACACAUGCAAGUCGAGCGGAUGAAGGGAGCUUGCUCCUGGAUUCAGCGGCGGACGGGUGAGUAAUGCCUAGGAAUCUGCCUGUUUGUGUGGGAUAACGUCCGGAAACGGGCGCUAAUACCGCAUACGUCCUGAGGGAGAAAGGGGGGGAUCUUCGGACCUCACGCUAUCAGAUGAGCCUAGGUCGGAUUAGCUAGUUGGUGGGGUAAAGGCCUACCAAGGCGACGAUCCGUAACUGGUCUGAGAGGAUGAUCAGUCACACUGGAACUGAGACACGGUCCAGACUCCUACGGGAGGCAGCAGUGGGGAAUAUUGGACAAUGGGCGAAAGCCUGAUCCAGCCAUGCCGCGUGUGUGAAGAAGGUCUUCGGAUUGUAAAGCACUUUAGGUUGGGAGGAAGGGCAGUAAGUUAAUACCUUGCUGUUUUGACGUUACCAAAAGAAUAAGCACCGGCUAACUUCGUG